Long non-coding RNA from Bombyx mandarina (wild silkworm), 649 nucleotides. Lineage: Eukaryota; Metazoa; Arthropoda; Insecta; Lepidoptera; Bombycidae. The record is from RefSeq and is a predicted model, not a curated record.
GUUAGUGGCUUGUUUUAUUUUCGAAAAUAGUGAAAGCGUCCGCGUAAUCAUAGUGAACAUUUGUAUUGGAAGCGGUUGUAAGAGGGAAUUCUGUCCAGGUUGUGGAAUAUCCUUCCAUAGGAUCCCAGCUAAUGAAGAAUGGAGGGCUUUGUGGAUUGCUUCCAUGAAUCACUUCCAUGAAUCUUGACAAUAAUGUGUCAAAAUGAGCAUGCGUUUGUAGUUUGAAUUUUAAACAAGAUGACUGUUUAAUAGAAGCUAAGAAAAAGUUAAAACCACAAACGGUUCCUUCAGUAUUCCCUAAGUAGGCGCAAGUGUAAGCAGGAGUGAACGGAACGUAGACACGGUGCGGAAGGCAAGGGUCGACUGGCGUACCAAUCGCGCGCUCGGAACGGUGCUACGUCUUUCCCCGCGUCCCGCUUGCCAAGUUACGUGCCGGGGACUAUAGGUAAUAAUAAUAGGUACACAAAAUAACUACAUUAUGAUUUAUGAUAGUAAAUAUUUAUGAUUCUUCUUUCCAUCACACUUUUCAGGUUUUGGAUUGUCGUCAUUGAAUAAUUUUGUUCUAUGUGAAGCCAAUAUUGUGUAAUUACUGAUUAGUUAAAGUAAAUUUGUAAAUAAGAAUUAUUAAACUGCUGGUAAAAAAGCGUGA